GAUCCGUUUUGUUGAAGGGGGCAGGGGAGAUCCUCCUGACUCUUUUGUAACGAGUUCAUCUUUGGUGAACUUUGACACACAAACACACUCAGCUGACCAACAACAAACGGCUCCAACAUGGCUGACCUGAGAGAGAGAGAGAGAGACAGAGAGCUGACUGGAGUGGACUACACUAACCAGAUUCACCCCGUAGUGAUCGGUCAGGAAGUGAGGAGGACGGUGAACACGUUUCUUACUCAAAAAGUCAGAGACAGCUGAUAAACGAACAGAAACUCUGGUGUAAAAUAAUGAAGCUAACACAGAAGUACAUGUGAAAAACUGCAGUUCCUCUUGUGUCCACUUGGGGCUGGGUUCAGAGGCCCAGGAGUCCCCACUGGACCUCAUGUUACACUUCAAAUUUUUGAUGCUAAUGUUUACAACGGGGCGGCACAGUGGUGUAGUGGUUAGCACUGUCGCCUCACAGCAAGAAGGUCCUGGGUUUGAUUCCGGCUCAGGGCAUUUCCGUGUGGAGUUUGCAUGUUCUCCCUGUGUCUGUGUGGGUUUACUCCGGGUACUCCUGUUUCCUCCCACAUCCCAAAAACAUGCCUAAGUGGGGUUAGUUAACUGGCCACUUUCAAAUUGCCCGUAGGUGUGAAUGUGAGCGUGGAUGCUUGUGCGUCUCUAUAUGUCAGCACUGCGAUGUCCCCUGCCUUCGCCCGAAGAUGCCGGGAUAGGCUCCAGUGACCCCACAACCCCUAGCGGGAUUAAGCGGUAGAAAAUGGAUGGAUGGAUGAAAGGAUGGAUAUUUACAACUUUGAAUAAACAAUAAGAUCUGGACCCUUGUUAUGUGGGGUUCAUUUGAGUCAGAUUAGAGCAUUCAUGGUUAAAAUAAAAACUACUUCCUUUUUUAUAGCAAACAUCAACACGGUCAAUGGUUUGAGCAGCUUUCCAUCCUCAAUUUGCACAUAACACACUGUGCAAAUUCAAAGUUGAUUGGGUAAAACCCUAAGAACAAGUCAGAGUUCAAAGUUAUUGAUAGAGGAUUCCUAUUGUUCCAUUAUAACAUGUAAAUUUUGCGAAUGCGAACCCAAACACAAGAGCCAGUGGCAGUUUAUUUGAUUAAAUCAUUGCGUUGAACUGCCUCCAUCAGUUUCUUUUCACUAUUAUUUAACCCCAGUUCACCUUUGAUUAGUUUUUGACUCUCUGAUUGCAAGUUCAUCCUAAAUGAGGUGAAAAAAGGUUAAUCAUUGAAGCGUAGUAAAAGCUUCAGUACCUUUUCUAUUAAAUCAGGUUUAUUGGUCGUAACUCUGCGUGUAAACAGUGAGGUUAAUUGUCUAUUCUGAAAAAAAACACAGAGUCAACAGAGUCUGUCGCAUCUUUACACAUGUGUUUCAUCAUAAAACAAACUGUCCUGUUUGUUGCGCUACCAUGACAACAUUCACGUCAUGUAAGACCGCAAGCCUUUGAACAUCGCUCAACCUCUUAAGUAAUGUGGUAAAGGUAAAGGUGCGCGUGACAGCGAAACAUAAUUGGGGACAUUGUUUGCCCUGACAUGUCUGAGAUGUCCUUUUAAUCCAGAGAUGUGUGAUGUCCUGUGAUGACCUACUUACCUCCUCGAAGAUCACACCUUCACCUGAGGGGUCGGGGAUUUCUCGACAGGUGUUCAGAUUAUAUAAUCUGUUUCCCUGUUAGUGAAUGUCUUGAGGUGCAUAUUUUUGGUUUUUGUUCCUCCAUAACAGCUGAGAAUGAAAACUGGUUCAGCAUUUACAGAGUGGAAUUUUUAGUACUUUUUAUAUCGUUGAGUUCAGGACUUACAAAAAGGAUCCAAAGGUACAAACAGAGGAGGUGAGAGGAGUUUGUGUUGUGGACAUUUUUGUACUCAGAGGCCUCUUUUUUUUUUGGAUUCAUGACAUUCCAGCGGCGUGAAGUUUGUGGUGUGAGGAAAUCGUAAACAAAGCAGGUCCAGCAGCAUAAUUUACCUGUUUGUGUCAGUAUCUGCAGGAUCAGUGUCUCAUGCCGAUGCUGUUUUCAUUUCCUCUGCAUGUGCCUUUGAUAGUCGUUAUCCUGAUACUAUCUCCAAGAGAGCUGAUGAAUAGUUGUUCUGGACUUUGAAGAAGUUUCUACCAGCUGCACAGCCAGAUCACAACCUGAUAUUAACCGACCAACCAAUCAACAACUGAUGAUGUUUAGAAAGUGCUGGAAACUGCAGUACCUCAAGUGUCCACUUGGGGCUACCUGCAAAACCCAAGGAAGUCUGACUGACACUCGUGUUUUUCACAGCAAAAUGAAACAUGUUUUCAGAUUUGGUCAUAAUUUUUCAUAAAACUCUUUUUUUUUUUAAGCGUUCUAGUUUUACGCAUAGACUGGUUAUAGAACUGACGCGGUGGUUUGUGCUCAAGUCCUCUUUUUUCUGUACAGCUCCAUUUUUAAAAGUUAUUAGUGGGUUCAUGUUUUCUCUGUUUGAGCCGAGCGUCAUCACAGCGACUCUCCCACCGAAUGCGUCCAACGCAACUGCACAUGUGGUGGUCCCAGGAGGUGGAGAAAAUCAUGGAAAUACUGAGAGCAAUUCGGCUUCAAAUUCAUAUAAUGAUGGAAGGUGGAGCCAAGUUGUCCAUAGUAUAAACAGUCUAUGGUGUAACAUAAUUAGGGAUGUAGCUGAUUCCACAGCUUCAACAUUUCACCUCUUGUUAAGUUGAGUGAAAGCGACGAUGAAUCAGCAUUUUAAAAAUGGCGACUUCCAUCUUCAACCUCAGAACUUAAGAAAUCAUUAGAUGACAACCACAGAUGACACAUCUACAUCAUACAGUCUAUGGUAUCACCUCAAUCACUCUGUCUGCCACCUCCUUAUCUUUUUAACAUGACAGCACUUCACUUCAAAGAUUUUUUCCGUGAUUUUUCGUUUAAUUAUUCCCUCAAGAACUUCCUGCAUGAAUCAGCUGAAGCCUAUUGGUCCAGAGCGCCACACCUCAGAGUGACGAGGCUGAUAACAAUGAUCCCUGGUACAACACCGGAGUCUAAUGUCCUCAUAUUUCAUUGAUGCGGGGGUGUGAUAAGGACAGACUGUACACUUAAAACCAGUUCAGGUCACCGCAACAAUGCAGGAACAAUGUGAGAAAUGUUUCUAAGAACUGAACCGUCCAGUAACAUGAGUAAGCACAGAAGAGAACACACAGCGCUCUGUUUCAUCCACAUCUUGGUGACGCAUUUUGAUUCAGCAAUUCUCUCUGUUCUUCUUUAAACUCCUGAUAUAUAGAAACACUUUAUCCCUGACAGGUAAACAUAGAAGUCUCUUUGCAACUUUUUAAUCAGAUACGUUUGUGUUUUUAAACGCCUCAGUUUUCUGAAUCCUCAGUGUGAAGCUCUUUUUUUCACUGAAGAGGAAAUAUGACCUUAAAUGAGUUAAAAAGAGGCUAUUAAAUCAUAAAAAACAGAUAAGGUUGAUCAUAAAAUGUCAUGUACAGUUAUGACUCCAGUCUGAAUCAUGAAGUCUUGUACGUGUGUAAACUCGGUGAUCUUGGGUUAUAUUGUGCUGCAGUAGGAGGGAGUCGGCGUUUGUCCUUAAAGUCAUGUAUUGUAGUAAUAUAAUGUUGUGAUCAUCAGUCUUUAUUGGGAUUGUUUUUUGCACAGGCAGAAAGCUCAGACAGUCCUUGUUGAUUGUUGUGAACCAGAGUGAGUCUACGUGCGAGCCGCAGCCUCUCUUAUCUCUCAGAACAUAGAUGAGAACAGUUGGUGAUAAACAUCAGAGUGUGAUCUCUUAUUUAAGUCUUGAUUUAUAAACCUUGAACUGCGAUCCCAGUAUCUAAAGAGUCAUAUUCUUGUCAACAAAGUCUGCAGGAUUCACCCUGGAAAACACAAAUAAAUCACUGUCAGGGCCUUUUGUGGUUUUCCCUCAGGCUCUAGUCUUUACCUCACAGGUACAGUGUGUAGAAAUGAAAGUAUUCAGUAAUAUCGAGCGAUCAGGCUCGAAAAGGACGGUGGCCUUUAAGGACAAGAAGCUCCUGGGAUGCAUGUUGAAUAUGUGCUGUGUCAGUUCUAUUGUUAGCGACCUAUGCUAGAUAGAGGCUGCCGUCAGUGUUGACAACUCCUCAGUAAGGAAAGUUGCUAGAUGACAUACCGUAGUUGCCUAAUUUGCAUAAUUUUUCAGUCAACCCCCCACCCACCCUGUGUAUCUGUAUAUGUGUGUGUGUGUGUGUGUGUGUUUGAUGUACAUGCACUACCUGUUUAGAAGAGUACCGUAUGUUUUGCACUGUAAGGCGCACCUGAUUAUAAGGCGCAUUAAACCAAACAAAACAGUCCGAUAAGUCAAACUGUAUUUCACUCAUUCAACAACUCCGCGAGGCUGUAGUGAUUUUAAGUGUGCCUCAUAGUGCGAAAAAUACGGUAACUUGGAUACCUCCUUUUGUGUCAGAGUUUCCAAACUCCAAAUCUAGGGACUCAAAAUAGUCGCUUGAUUUGCCGCUCGGCGCUUUUUUGAAAAUAAGUCACUAGGGGUGUCUGAAAAGUCGCUAAAUCGAAGUUGCCAAGUUGGCAACACUAGCUGCUGUCUUUGUUGUGGCCUAUGAACCAAUCAGAGGCUUCAUUUGAGACCAGCUGACCUGUAGACGCCAGUUGUCGCAGAAAAUCUGUAAAGGCCUAAUUAUUCCUCACAGAUAUUUAAGGGGAUCGAUAGAGAAUUCAAAAGCGACAGUUUAUAAGUGUUCAUCAGAUUUCUAUAACUUUGAAGAUGUUUAAUCUGAAACGCAGCAGAUUGUCAGUAAAACAGAAUUAUCAGCGUUACAUUUUUAAUACAUAUGACCUUUAUUAACCUCUUUGUUUUUGUAUGAAUCUAUAGAAGCGACUUUCAGACUGUUGCUGAACUUUGCAGCUCACUCUCUCAUUUAUACCUCACCUGAGAAGUCCAAGGGCCUCUAAACCGCCCCUCAAAGACCUUUAACCUUUUACUGCCAAUCUAAUCAGCUGCUUACCUGUGCUCCAGUCAGGUUUAACCUUUGCCCCGUUUAAUACACCCUUUAAAUUCCAGUCUGUUCUCAUGUGAAGGAGUGGUUGCUUACUUUUGAAUCAGAACAUUUAAAUUGAUUGAGCAUGAGUUGGCAGCUCCUCCUCAUACAGAUGACUCUGCAUCAUCAUCAUCAGCCUGAUUGGACUUGAUUGUGAUUUUGUUUUGUGCUCCACAGCAGACUAAAUUAAAGCCACCACCUUAGAGACUCAGAGCAGAGGCAGCAGCGCUCCAGCUGACAGGUCCGGACCAGAUCUGAGGUCACAUUAGUUCAGGCAGAGUCUGACACGGAGGAAUGUUCCUGAUGUGGUUUGUUUGAUAUUUUCGCUCUGUGCCGGCUGCCAAAUGAAAACUGCUUUAGUGGGAACAUCACAAACACAGAGGGGAGGCAGGCAGCGAAGGACAGGAGCUAUGUUUCCUGUCAACAGAGGCGAUCACGUUGGGCACGUAAAACACACACACACGCGCGCGUGCACGCUCACACACACACACAAAGGGGAAGCAGGGGAGUAGAUACAUUCUUUACAGACAAAGCUCUUUUGUAGGGAAUCAAACAUGUCACUGGAAACAUUGUCACUCCCCCUGGUGGUCAAAAUAGAAAACCCCACAAACCGCUUAGAGGAAUUCCAUUAACGUAUUCACCCAUUUCACUGAAUGAGGAAGCAUCCCCCUUUAACAUCCGGUUUCUAGACCGGUGGCGUCGGUAAGAGGAAAUAAUACUGCAGUGAGAGGAGCACAGGGACAAGGACAGACACUGGAUAUUUUUGACCUUUUUAAAAAAGAAUAGAGACAGACAGAAAAGACAAGAGUCUGUGGGUUGUUGUCUUGGUUUCAACCCCAGGGACUCAAAUAUUUGAAUACAAGGGGAGAGCCCCAACACCUCCUGUCAAACAAGGAGAAAACCCCUCCACCGCCCCCAAACAAUGGGAAAUUUGACUUUCUCUACUAAAGCAUAAAUAGUCAUUACAAAAAUAUCACACUUUUGCACUCAGAUGUUCAGCGUCAUGUGACGUCUGAUCCGCACAGAUGUUGAAUGACUGCAUGUUUGCAAACUUACUGUUAUAAUUUUACCAAAAGUAAAAAAGCGUGCAGUGAUUUUCUCUCUGCAUCCGUCCAUGAUGGAGUUACUGACUGUUUCUUAGUGUAGAUGGUUUCUGCACACUUAUAGUAAGUCAUGACUGAGUGUAGAUGGAUGCAAACAAGCUUAGUUUGGAUUAGUUUAGUUUGUUUAUGGUUCAGUUAAUGUUAACUAAAUUUAGUUAAUCUCAGUUUAGUUUAAUCGAGUUCACUAUGGUUUGGAUUAUCUCAGCUAAAUUAAGUUAAAUUUAGUUUAAUUAAGUUUAGUUUAUCUGCAUAAAGUUUGCCAUUGACAAAUUAAGAUUAUUUUAUUUUAGUUUUGUUAAUCUCAGUUCAGUUUAGUGAGUUUAUUAUAGUUUAGUUUAUCUCAGUUAAGUCUAGUUAAGUUUAUUAAAGACUAUUUCAUCUUUGUUUAAUGAGUGUAGUUUAACUUGUUUAAAUUGAGUUUAUCUUAGCUAAUUAACUUCAUCUUAAUUUAGUUGAAUUGAGUUUAAUUAAGUUAAACUUGAGUAUUUCAGUUGAUCUUAGUUUAGUUAAUUUCAGGUUUGUUUAUCUUAAUUAAGAUUACUUGAGCUUAGUUUAAUUAGUCAUUAAUAAAUUGAGACUAGUUUUUUUGGUUUUGUUAAUCUCAGUUUAGUUCAGUUUAUCUCAGCUUAGUUUAGUUAAGUUUGGUUAUGAUAGGUUUACCAAAGCUUAUCUUAGUUCAGUUAACUCAUACUGUUAGCUGUACGUGUUACUUCUACUUUGUCUACUAGCUAACCUUUUCUUCUACAGAGUGUAAAACCUCUCUUCUCUGUUUCUGUCAGUUUCCUCCCAGUUUGAGCAGAAGUCAGUUUUUACUGAUUCUUAGUCACCAGUCAGUAUCAGGGUUUCUGACUGAUUCAGUCAUCCUCAGGCUGGUUUGAGACUGUAAAUGAAUGUUGAAGUGUGUAAACAGUUUGAAUUGGUCAGAAGGAGUCCUGCAGUUUAAAGGAGCAGUCUGCCUUUUUUUCUUUCGCUGAGAGCUGAGUGGGUGAUACCAGUUUCUGUGUGAGAAAGAUGACUCAGACUGAGAAAUAAGUCAUUUGUGUCUCUGGUUUUCCUCUCAUGCUGUGACAUGUUACUUUUGUUUUGACAAUUGCUUCAUUCUGUUGCUAUCCAAGUUUUCUUUUGUUGAAAAGACACUUCUAAUACUGGGUAAAUUUCAUCAAGUCUGCAGUUUUGCAGGAAGUGUCCUUUACCACAGGCCUUUUUUUUCAGGGUUGCCACGUCUGUCUGCGCUGGCUGUCAGACUGCGGUAACUCAGAGUGUGUUCAGGUCGUGUUUCAUCUCUUCCUGGUUGCUAAAACGACUGACUGGUUCUGUUUUAACAUUACUAAUUCGCAGUAAAGUUUACUUUCAGUUUUUAAUUUAGAUGCUUAAAUCUUGGGUUGAUAAAUCUGUCCAUGAAGCCCCCCUCUCUUCCUCUCUCAGUCUUACAGUUUUUUUCUGUUUCGAACCACUAAACUGGUUCCUGCUUUCCCCUCGCUGUGCGGUGAGUCAUUAACAAGAAACACCUACGCACAGACAGCAAAAAAAAACCACGCGCACAAACACACCUGCUGCCUUCUGCUGAAUUUCCAGAGGUCUAAAGGUCUUUGGAAAUCUGUAAAAGUUAUAAUAGACAAACCACAAACCAGCGAGAAUCAUUUUUAAUCAAAUUAUAAAUGAAGAGGAAGCUGACCUUCAGAGGGAACAACACACAUCCACACUAAAUCGUUUUAACCCAUGAAUGCUGUAAAACGAACAUUUUAAUGGUUUUAUGGACCAUAAAAGUCUGAAGGUGUCAUGUUUAUGAAAGUUACCGCACAGUUUGACGUUUUCACCUCUGAUCUCUCAAAUUAUUGUCCAAUUUCAGACACUUUUACAGCCAAAUAAAAAUGAACUGAUGCACACGGGGUCAUUUAAAGAAACAGCGCAGCCUAAAAAGUACAGUAUUUCAGAUCCGAAUGUGUGCAAACAUAAACUUGCAACACGCGGAUGCAGAAGAUGUUGCAUCAAGAGGAAAUUUAAGGGGAAAUUAAAGUUUAAAAGUUCAUCACCCCGACAAACACGUGCAGCAAACUAAAACAUGUCGAUCCUCAUUUUUAAAGCACAGAUUCGUAACUAAUGAUUUAUCCAUCAUAAACAAAACAUACGUGACAUUUAGAAAGUGACAGGUGCGAGGCAGAAACCUUGAGCAGAACCAAACUCUGCUGAGACUGAGCGGGGUUUGCAGCAAGAAAUGAAAAUUGUUCGGAUUUUAUGUUUUGAGUUUUUGCAGCAGAUGUAAGUUUUGUAGUAGGCUUGAAACUUCUUUUUUUAUAAAUAUAUUUUAAGAUUUUGUUUCUUUAUUCAGUGAGUAAAGGGCAACAGAUGGAGCAGGGAACUGGAGAGAGAGAGUCAGGAGUGAGGUACAGCAGGUUGGAUCGAACCUGGACCGCGUGUUUGACAGCAAUAGCCUCUGUAAACAUGGUGUGAAUCUUGGCCACUGAGCCAAACCACCGUCACUUUACUCUUAGUUCUCGUAAAAGAGUUUACAGACUCAGGUUUGGACCGGUCCUCAGUGAUGGUUCUGUCGGCUUUAGCCUGAUCUAUACUCCUGUGUUUAAUCGACUCCAGAGGAUGAACCUUGAUGUUCUUCUCCUCAAAAAUCUAUCUUUGCAUCAAACCUGUGAUUGGCUCAGAGAGUAACAUCGUAUUUUUUGCUUUUACAACAUCGACUAUGAUUCAGCAGCCGCACAAUGACAUCCACUCUGACGUUUUCUCGCCAUAAUCUUGACCGUUGAUCAACAUUUAUCUGCUCUUACUUCAACUUUGUGCUUUUGGGUUUGUCACCAUGAACAUGCAGAAACUCCGUAUUAGCAGAAUAGAACUUUAACUGUCAGGUAGGCCGAGAACUGAAGUAUGGCGAGGGCUAAGAUGGCGAAGGCUACAACAGCGUCGCUUCAAAGCAGACCGUCUGUGGUUGUUUUCGAUGUUGCUCUCUCAUGGUGCUUUAAGGUCAGAUCUGUAUAUUAUAUAAAAAAGAGGAUCCUCUUGACCUGUUUUUUUAAAAAGUGUGUUAGAUACGUGUUACUACCUCUUUUGAGGUCUCUACCAACACCCCACCCCAGAUCACAGACUCAGACAGUCGUACAGUUUCUCGAUCCUCGCCCUUUUACAGUUUUUAUUCAACAACAACUUGAUCAUAUUUACUCAUUACUGUGUCACAUCCUCUUUUUCUACUCUAAUUACUAAUGCAGAGUAAUUAUGAUGAGAUGUUUUAUUUUAUUCUUUUAAUUAAUUGAUAUUUUUGGAUAGUUUUUUUCUGCACAGCCUGUUUUACCUGCCUGGAGUUGCUCAGAUGUGGCAGUUAAUUGAUUUUUAUCUGCUAACUCUGCAUGAUUGGCUGCAGACUCAGAGCCCCACCCCAUUAAAAGAUCCCAAACCUCUUCUCCUAACAAAGGGCUGCAGCGAGAUAGACAUAAUAAGACUAGAUGUUUGAAAGUCCUGCUCUUAAACAAGGGAAAGUUUUAAAGAAGCGACAUAUUAUUUUUCCAAGGUGUUUUAUGUGCUGCAAAAAUUCCCCAUGAUCAUAUUUUAACGGUUUUAUUGACACUAUAUCUUGACUAGAAAGUGGUUCAAACAAUAAAAGUCCAGAGUGAUGUCUUGGGGUUGUCCGGAGAAACCAUGGUAGUGGUUCGGGAAUUUUCUCAGACUUGAUUUCUUUUCCUGAGCGGCACAACUUCUCUGUGUCCUUGCAUCAUGUGCAAAUGUUUUCAUGCAUGCUUUCUCCCCACUGUAACUUGAAACCCGUCUCCCUCUGUAUUUAAGACUCCUGUCAUUCACAUGCAAAUGCAGCAGGUGCAGCAGAUCCCAUCGGACCGUUUAACAGAAAUGCGCCGGCUUGCUAAAACGCAGGGAAAGCAAAAAUACAUAAAGCGCUUGUUUGACAAAUUGAAUGCUGUAAAAGUGUGAGAACUCAGGUGUUUACCUCUUCACACUCAGGUUGGAUGAUGUCUAAGCUGCGAAAAGAAAACAAAAGUAUGCCGAACACACCUUUGUUUGUUUUUGUUACUGUUAUCUCUUUGCUACAGAGGAGUGAAUAGAGAACAGUUCAGGUUUUUUGCUCACUUGAGAAGUAUGUGAGGCAUCUAUGGUACCCUGUCAAUCUCAGUUAGACACAUCUAUCUUCUUUAAACCAGUUCAAAAGUUAUGGCUCUGUUGACGUGCACCAGAACAGGCCUGAGCGUACCCCUCAGAAAUCAUUUAUAGAGCAGCACUUUUCACAAAAUGAUAUUUAUCCCCCCAAUAAUGAGCUCACUGUUGCUCAUAGCACAUCUUGUUUUUCUCAUGCAGCCCUUUGGCUCAUUUUUAGCCCGAGUGCCAAACACUGGAGGGCAUUGUACAGUCAAAACACAGGGUUGCCUGUUUGAAGGCAAUGAUUUCAUAAGAACUGCAGAGCUGCUGUUUACAGUGUCAGCGACCCUCUGCUGACAUCUAGUGGUAAAAAGAGGAAGAGUUAGUGCAGGUUCUGGUUAACAAAGCGUUUCAGUCAGACUGAGUCAGUAUUUCCACAAUGUAUUUCUCUAGAUAAUGUUACUUUUGGAAUGUUACUACCAAAUAAAAAUGAUGAACUCUGUUGUAAUGUAAUCUUUAAGUUAUGAGAUCAUCCCCCAGAUUUAUUGUUUUCAUAAACGAAUUUAAAAUGUAUUUGAAAUCUCUUAAAACCUUAAAACAGGUUUGAAGGAACAAACGUUUCAUGAUAACUUCAAGAAUUUUCCCACUGAGAUGAAAAAAUAAAAAUGUUUUAAAAAAGAAAGAAAGCCCUUGUAAAGUUUUGCCUGGCAUAUAUUAUUUUAUUUAUUUUAAGUUACUUUUAUGUUUCUGUUUGCUUGUUGUUCUUCACUAUCUACUUCAUAUAUUUUAUUAUUUUUAUUUUUAUUUCAAUUUUGAAAUUACUGUAUUGAACUGAUUCUGCUGUUUGUAAUUGUAAUUGUUAAUAAAUAAAUAAAUCAAGCUUAAAAAAAAAGUGAGACUGAUUUUAUUGAGUAUUGAAACUCCAUUAAUAUUCACCAAUUUACUUUACUACUACUACUACUACUACUACUACUAAUAAUAAUAAUAAUAAUAAUAAUAAUAAUAAUGGUGAUGAUUUAGAAUAAAAUGUAAAAACUAAUAUGUGACAGUGAGCUGUUAGUUGUGGACUUUUCCUGCAGGUUUCCAAACAUCAUAAUAAAAGACUACAGAGGAAGAAGAAACAGCUGAUGCUAACCAGCUUUGCUUGUGCUCUCUGAGAUGAUUCAGCACUUUUAAAAACUGACAUUCACAGGUUUUGGUUGGCUCCCGCCUCUUCUGGUUACCAAUAAAUGUAAUGUUUAUACUUUUUUCGGCAGCUUUUUUAUCUGUUUUAUUUUGAUAACAUUACUAAUGAGCUACAAGAGGUAAAUAACUUCAAAAUAAAAGCAUGGUUUUAAAGUUCUGGGAAUAAAGAAACUGAAAUGCAGGACAGAAAAAUAUAAGAAUUGGAAAAAGUGAGGAAUAAUUCAUUUGAAGCUCCUAUCAGAGACUUUCAGUUUGUAUGAAUUUUGGCGCCCCCUGUUGAUCUGAUAUCUUAUAAAUGUUAUGAGAGAUGAGUGAUGACAUACAGAUGCCAAUAUUUAUUUGACUGGAGGAUUAAAUUAAAAUCUUUAAUGAUGUAAAAGGUUUAAAAAAUUAAGCUUGUCGUGUUUAAUGCUUCAACGACAUGAGUUAACAGUGUGGAUGUUAAUUCAUGAGUAAGCUCAGGUGGUAAAAGAUGAGUGAGAGAAAUCUGAGUGGCAAAAAAGAAAGAAAAAUAUUAGGCUAAAGAAAACUUAUUAAACAGAUUAAAUGAUAAAUGAAGACUUGAAGGAAAUCAGGCCUUGAAAUAAACGAUUUAAAAACAGCUCAUAUUUAGCUCAUCUUUAAACAGCUGUUCAUGAACCAGUUUACAAAUAUAAGAGCAGAGCUACUCAGCUUUUUAAGAUGUGAUUUGUUGAAUUUGGUUGUGACUAAAACUAAAGCAUAGAAAAAUUACAAAUUUAUUUUUAGAGUGCUUUCUAAUAAAUGUUCUAGAGAGAAAAGACAGUUGAAAAAUAAGUGUAAAUAUAUCAGCAUUAAUCUAUUCUGCAGAGUGCAAUAAUACAGCAAAGGAGCUUCAGAAUUACAGGCUCCUUCACCGUGAGUUUCCAAGUGUAACUGAGAGUAAAUGUAAUGUUUCAAUGAGGGAACUUAAGAUACAUGUCAUAUAGUAAAAACUUGGAGUAAUUUAAUGUAAAUAGGAAACUUUAAGCCACUGAAACUAGUCAAAUAUGAUGUAAAUUCCAUUACAGUUAUAUAUCCUGCAACAAUACUUUCCCAAAUAACAAUGUUA
This is a non-coding RNA of Xyrichtys novacula (pearly razorfish), 12425 nucleotides long. Lineage: Eukaryota; Metazoa; Chordata; Actinopteri; Labriformes; Labridae. The record is from the annotation of a GenBank genome assembly.